UCUGCAAACGCGGCCGCGGGGCGCUGGGCGGCAAAGAGAAACUGAAACUCGAAGCGGGCGGCUUGGCGGGAAGACGGGAGGCCCCGGGGCGCGGGGGGGCCGGCUGAGCACUCCCCAACCCCGCCCCGAGGGUCCCCAGGCGCAGGAGGGCAUUCAGCAGAGGGGCGCCCGGAGGCCCGGAGGCCCGGAGGCCCGGAGGAGUCAGCGCAGGGGCUGCAGGAAAGCACACUGACAGCUCGGCGUGCACCCGGAGCACCUGUCCUCUGUCCCAGCCGCCCCCCAGGACGGUCUCCUGGACCCAGGUGACAGUCAGCCCAAAGCUGCCAUGUGCUUCUCUGUCUCCCAGGACACGGGAAGUUGGAGACGCACGUAGCGGACAGUCCCGCACAGAACGCAAGGAGAUCACAUUGUCCACUCGGUGUCUCGGACGCGGAAGUAAAUCGAAACAUCCCAAAAGCAGAGACAGUCUACCUGCUCAUCACUAACCCGGCUUCAGGAACGUGCCGACUUUACCUGUCUCCCCACUGAACCUUGGCUCUACCUGGAAGAAAUAAAAUGGUAGGGUAAGUCCCAAGGAGAGGUCUUUGCUGAAGGAACAGGCAUGGCGCCCACAAUCUAUUUGGCUUCCUAAAUAAUGGACACAAAAGUGACACUGAUGAGGAUGUUCUGGACACUUCCACCCCACUGUGACCCGCCAGGACUGAGGAGGGCUAUGCCAGAGGCAGGUGCCCUCAGGAACCCUGGUGUCUCGGAUCCCUGGGGCCUCACCUGUGUCUCCUGCACCUAUGUCCCUGUCACCCAGGACUCUUCUGUGCCCUUGUGGGCUGACAGCCCAGAGACGCCUCCUCCUCUGCCUGGAAAAUGCACCCAAGACGGACAACACAUCAGGUUCCACGGAGCAGACAGACUCCUCUCCUUCUGCCCUCAGUCCGUGGAGCCCAGAAGUUUAGUGAAUUCCAAUGUGUCCUGUGUCUUUAACCAGGACACCCCAGGGACCUCCUUGGGCUGGCUCACUGAGUGAUCCCAAACCAGCCCAGAAGCCGGGUCACUGCAUCCACGAAGAAAGAGUGCCUGUUAGCACCAUGUAGGCAGGUCCUGUUUCAGUCUGGCGGCCACAUUCUCCAAAUUCGUUGUCAGCAGACAGACCGCGGAAAAGCGUCUUCCUAGAAUUUCUGCUUCAGGAUGGUCCACAGCUGAGUGAAGUAAGUCAGACAGAGACACAUAUAGGGUAUCACUUGUACGUGGGAUCUGAAAGAAAUUUUUUUUCAAAUGCUGUAAGUUCUAUUUACAAACCAAAAAUGGACUCAGGGACAUAGCAAACAAACUAUGGUUAUUAAAGGGGAAAGGAGGCAGGACGGAUAAGUCAGGAGUCUGGGAUGGGCAGAUACACAUGACUGUAUGUAAAAUAGAUAAACAGGAAGGUCCUACUGUACGGCACAGGGAACUAUAUCUUGUAACAGCCUAAAUGGAAAAAAUAUGAAAAGACAAUAUAUAUGUCUAUGCGGAAAAAAAAAUAUGUUCCUUCUUCUGCCUGAGGCUCCAGGUAUGUCAAAUUCCAGAGACGUUCCGCACCCAUGGGACCACACGGGUGUGGCCUCACCUGUGCGUCAGACAGUCAGGCGUUUUGCUAGUAAAGACUCCCUCCCUCGGGCUGCAGCCUGGAAGUGGAGGUCACGGA
Non-coding RNA from Vicugna pacos (alpaca), 1678 nucleotides. The record is from RefSeq and is a predicted model, not a curated record. NCBI's taxonomy places the organism in Eukaryota, Metazoa, Chordata, Mammalia, Artiodactyla, Camelidae.